AAAAAAGUAAAACGAAAGGUGAAUCCAACGAUACUAACAAAAAUUUGUGUAGAAAUUAAACACGAAUGGAAUGAAAUGUUCGGCUCGAACCCAUGGCUUGCUCAUGACGAGUGUAAAGACCUAAGAGAGUGCUUUUCAAUCCGUAAAGGCAUCUUCAUGGUCUUACAAGCCUUCAAGGAGUGGACAUUGUGUUUUGAGGCAAUGGAAAUGAACCUGGAGGAUCAGAAUAUAGGUAUCUAUUUGUGUCUUAAGCUGUGUUUGUUGAUCUCUCUUCCUUGUGUGGUAUUUUGAGCGUUUUAUUGAGAGGGGUGAUUCGGCUUUUCUUUCCUUGUUCAAUUUGAAAUUUGUCAAAGAACCUGUGCUAUUAUUUGGCUUAAGAGUAGUUGCCAACACCUUAGCAGAAGUGAUUAUGAUGAAUGCUGAAUGAGUUUUCAACCAAAAACACAACUGUUUUAUUUUAUCAUUUUUGCCUUUUUUAUUACAAAUACACAACUUUUCUUUUGUUGUCAUUUCUUUAAAUAAUAAUACCUUUGAAUUUAAUUUGUACAAAUGUAUGAUAUAAACAAACUGCUUAAAAAAUACAAAAAUAUUAACUUGAUGAAAGAAACAAUGCAGAAAAUAUGCAAACUUUAUGUACAAUCUAUAAAAUAAAUUCAAUAUCAAUUCUAAACUCCAGGUAGGGAUCAUGUUAUGUUUUGUAGAUAGCCUGAAAUGAAGCAAACAGAAUUAUAUGUUACUGUCAAUCAAAGACUUAUAAGCUUUUAAUCUUGUGAAUCUCACAACAAAAGUCUAAUCACCAAAUUGUUUCCAAUCAUGCUGUCACAGGCCUCAAGAUAUUGGGGGGCACGAUACAGAAACAUAAAGAAAACAGGGCUGUUCAGGUCAGCUUGCAAACUUGGUGCAAUAUCAAGCUGGUAGCUUGGUCCAUAUGACAGGAAAUGCUGGCAAGAGAGAAAAAGUCCAUAUAGAUUAUCAAAACAAUAACACACAACUCACAAAAUAUUGAAUGCUAAUUAUUUUUGUUUUGGCUUAGAUUUUUAGGUAAUGAUUUGAUAUCAGCCUUCUCAAAACCAGCCGGCUGCCGGCUCAACAAGCCAACUCCUAUUGAUGUUUGACUGUCUCCAUCCAGACGAAGAAGAUAUCAUUUUUGUUUUGUUAGUAAUAUCUUCGUCAACCAAACCGCCUCAAAUCUAGCAAGGACCUGUUCCUAAAAAAACUAUUUGAGAAGGCUGGAUAAAUGCAUUUCACUAGUGGUGUGACCCAUGAUAAUAAAGCACAUCUUAUUACUAA
Molecule: long non-coding RNA, 1290 nt
Organism: Nematostella vectensis (starlet sea anemone)
Lineage: Eukaryota; Metazoa; Cnidaria; Anthozoa; Actiniaria; Edwardsiidae
Exons: 3
Source: RefSeq, a predicted model, not a curated record